RNAcentral lists this ribosomal RNA (498 nucleotides) under uncultured bacterium. RNAcentral's name for it is "partial 16S ribosomal RNA". It matches the Rfam family "Bacterial small subunit ribosomal RNA", at positions 30 to 523 of the family's 1533-position model. The record is from RNAcentral.
AUUGAACGCUGGCGGCAUGCCUUACACAUGCAAGUCGAACGGUAACAGGUCUUCGGAUGCUGACGAGUGGCGAACGGGUGAGUAAUACAUCGGAACGUGCCUAGUAGUGGGGGAUAACUACUCGAAAGAGUGGCUAAUACCGCAUGAGAUCUACGGAUGAAAGCAGGGGAUAGCAAGACCUUGUGCUACUAGAGCGGCCGAUGGCAGAUUAGGUAGUUGGUGGGAUAAAAGCUUACCAAGCCGACGAUCUGUAGCUGGUCUGAGAGGACGAUCAGCCACACUGGGACUGAGACACGGCCCAGACUCCUACGGGAGGCAGCAGUGGGGAAUUUUGGACAAUGGGCGCAAGCCUGAUCCAGCAAUGCCGCGUGCAGGAUGAAGGCCUUCGGGUUGUAAACUGCUUUUGUACGGAGCGAAAAGGUCUCCUCUAAUACAGGGGGCUCAUGACGGUACCGUAAGAAUAAGCACCGGCUAACUACGUGCCAGCAGCCGCCGCGG